This 256-nucleotide unclassified non-coding RNA is filed under the name uncultured fungus. RNAcentral describes it as "partial contains 5.8S ribosomal RNA, internal transcribed spacer 2, and large subunit ribosomal RNA". The stretch from base 1 to 52 matches the Rfam family "5.8S ribosomal RNA", at positions 103 to 154 of the family's 154-position model. The record is from RNAcentral. Lineage: Eukaryota; Fungi.
AACGCACAUUGCGCCCACCAGUAUUCUGGUGGGCAUGCCUGUUCGAGCGUCAUUUCAACCCUUAAGCCCCUGUUGCUUAGCGUUGGGAGCCUACGGCCAGCCCGUAGCUCCUCAAAGUCAGUGGCGGGGUCGGUUCGCACUCUGGGCGCAGUAGAUCUUCUCGUCUCGCCCGCGGCGCGUGCCGGUCCCCUGCCGUAAAACCCCCCCGAAUUGUAAGGUUGACCUCGGAUCAGGUAGGAAUACCCGCUGAACUUAA